AAGCCUGCUAUCGGAGUACGACUUAGCCAUGCGAGUCACAGGGGCGCAAGCCACAGGCAGACGGCUCAGUAACACGUAGGUAACCUACCCUUCGGACGGGCACAACCCCGGGAAACUGGGGCUAAUUCCCGAUAGGUACCCCCUUCUGGAAUGUGGGGAUAUCCAAAGCUCCGGCGCCGAAGGAUGGGCCUGCGGCCGAUUAGGUUGUUGGCGGGGUAACAGCCCACCAAGCCGACGAUCGGUACGGGCAGUGAGAGCUGUAGCCCGGAGAUGGGGACUGAGACAAGGCCCCAGGCCCUACGGGGCGCAGCAGGCGCGAAACCUUCACAAUGCACGAAAGUGUGAUGAGGGUACUCCGAGUGCGCAUACAUUGUAUGUGCUUUUCUGCAGCGUAAAUAGUUGCAGGAAUAAGGGCUGGGCAAGACCGGUGCCAGCCGCCGCGGUAACACCGGCAGCCCUAGUGGUGGCCGCUUUUAUUGGGCCUAAAGCGUCCGUAGCCGGACAGGCAAGUCUUUGGGUAAAUCCUACGUCUUAAGCGUGGGAAUUCUAAAGAUACUACCUGUCUUGAGGCCGGGAGAGGCUGGAGGUACUCCUGGGGUAGGGGUAAAAUCCUAUAAUCCUGGGGGGACCACCGAUGGCGAAGGCAUCCAGCUGGAACGGGCCUGACGGUGAGGGACGAAACCCAGGGGAGCGAGCCGGAUUAGAUACCCGGGUAGUCCUGGGCGUAAAUGAUGUGGGCUUGGUGUGAGCGCAUCGACGAGGUGCGCUUGUGCCGUAU
This 778-nucleotide ribosomal RNA is filed under the name uncultured archaeon. RNAcentral's name for it is "bacterial SSU rRNA". It matches the Rfam family "Archaeal small subunit ribosomal RNA", at positions 21 to 806 of the family's 1478-position model. The record is from RNAcentral.